UGCAGAGGUCCCAAGCGUUGUUCGGAUUCACUGGGCGUAAAGGGUGCGUAGGCGGUUGGGUAAGUCUGUCGUGAAAUCUCCGAGCCUAACUCGGAAACUGCGUCGGAUACUAUUCAACUCGAGGAAUGGAGGGGAGACUGGAAUUCUCGGUGUAGCAGUGAAAUGCGUAGAUAUCGAGAGGAACACCAGUGGCGAAGGCGAGUCUCUGGACAUUUCCUGACGCUGAGGCACGAAAGCCAGGGGAGCAAACGGG
This 253-nucleotide ribosomal RNA is filed under the name uncultured bacterium. RNAcentral's name for it is "partial 16S ribosomal RNA". It matches the Rfam family "Bacterial small subunit ribosomal RNA", at positions 524 to 776 of the family's 1533-position model. The record is from RNAcentral.